Molecule: long non-coding RNA, 1136 nt
Organism: Populus euphratica (Euphrates poplar)
Lineage: Eukaryota; Viridiplantae; Streptophyta; Magnoliopsida; Malpighiales; Salicaceae
Exons: 2
Source: RefSeq, a predicted model, not a curated record
UGCAAAACUAAAAAAGGACGGCAAGUUUGAAAAUGUUUCCAAGCCUGCACCUGAUCCUCCAGGAAUAAUGCCGUGAUCUCAAGAUCUUUGUUCUUUUCGAAAGUACCAAAGUGGGUAUCAUGAAAGCACUCACAGAAGCAUUGAAGAACAAUAAAGUGUUCAGCAGAAGAUAGCAGGCGUGCUGUGCUUCAAACUCAAGAGGCCAGUGAACAAGGAAGAGCAGGUCGGUUGCAUGCUUGAUUGACGAAAUAAUGUGGAUAAAAUCCUUAUUAAUUUGGAUGAUGUUUUGACUAAACUGUAGCCUCACAACAUGACAAAGCCAUGGUUAUCAGAGGUGAGAUUUCAAAGACCGAUCAUCCCACUUGAUGUCCUAUUUGAACACGAGUAGUGGGACUUGCUGAUCAAAACGAUUGCCGGUGACCUCAUCGAGUCUCCCACGUUGAGACCCGUGGCAGAGGAGGCUUGCGGAGAAUGUGGAAGAAACAUCCAAAGUGAGUGGCAAAAGAAUAGUCGUUUCCACUGAAUGCCAUAUCCAGCUUCGAUGAGCUUGAAGAACUCGAUGUAAAAUCAUGUGGAGCGCUAACCUCAGAGCCCAAAAGUAUGCUGUUCGUGAGAAUGAGAUGCUUCCCCGCUUAAGAAAAGUUGUACUACGUAAUUUACCAGAACUGCACAUAUGGAAAAGUCCUAGUACUGAACUAUCACACAUGCACAGAGUUGUUACAGAGGACUUGCAAGGAUAAGAAGGAGAAGGGGGCAUUGAUAAUCUGGUGUUCCCUCAAUUAAAAGAGAUUUCAGCAUUCUAACUUCCCAACCUUGCAGGCUUUCCUAUCCCAAAGUGAAGAACUUUGCUGCUACUGUGAUUUCAGGUGGAAUCCAGAGAACCCCAAUGCUUAAGCCGAUCAAACUGGAUGGUGUUGAAAUAAUGCUUAACAGUAGGGAGUUGAUGAAUGCAGUCGUAGAAGGGUACUCAAGGUUCCUGUCAUUUUUCCUUUUCAUAAUCAUGACAUCUAUCAAUAUCAUGCUAAUUUACCUAAUUGUAUUCUGCAAUUUUAAGAAUCCAUGAUUUUCCAUGGCCUUUAACACGGUGUAUAAAAGAAGUUUUAAUUAUUUAGAUUGCUUCAUUCAUACUUGUGUGA